This 29-nucleotide non-coding RNA is filed under the name Mus musculus (house mouse). The record is from RNAcentral. Lineage: Eukaryota; Metazoa; Chordata; Mammalia; Rodentia; Muridae.
UGGAAGCCUUUUAAGAGCCAAACCCUCAC